Molecule: long non-coding RNA, 367 nt
Organism: Physella acuta
Lineage: Eukaryota; Metazoa; Mollusca; Gastropoda; Physidae
Source: RefSeq, a predicted model, not a curated record
GAUAGUCUCACAAGCCUUCACAGAACCUCUGCACACUGCUGAAGUCCUAGAAGAUGAAAACUGCUGUUGUAGUUAUCGUGUUGUUCAUCAUUGCAGUAUGUCUAAUUGAACCUGAACAAGGUUUAUUACGGUCUAGGUGUGAUCGCUGGUGGAACUAUUGUCGACCUGGCGAAGAUUGCCGAUGGCAGCUCAUUCCUUGCCCAAGGUUCUAUUGAUGAUUCUCAAGUGAUGUUCUCAAAUCUGUUCGAUAGUUAUAUUGAAGACUUUCAAGCCUGGCUAUUGUGAUUCAGCUUUAAUCUACUAAACAAAAAAUUGAUGUAGGUCUAUAUGAUGUAGGCAACUCUGCAAUAAAAAAAAAACGAAUCAA